This 253-nucleotide ribosomal RNA is filed under the name uncultured bacterium. RNAcentral describes it as "partial 16S ribosomal RNA". It matches the Rfam family "Bacterial small subunit ribosomal RNA", at positions 524 to 776 of the family's 1533-position model. The record is from RNAcentral.
UACGGAGGUGGCAAGCGUUGUUCGGAAUUACUGGGCGUAAAGGGCGCGUAGGCGGCAAGGCAAGUCAGGUGUGAAAGCCCCGGGCUUAACUCGGGAAUUGCAUCUGAAACUGCUGUGCUUGAGUUCUGGAGGGAGUAGUGGAAUUCCCAGUGUAGCGGUGAAAUGCGUAGAUAUUGGGAGGAACACCUGCGGCGAAGGCGGCUACCUGGACAGAAACUGACGCUGAGGCGCGAAAGCUAGGGGAGCGAACGGG